This 253-nucleotide ribosomal RNA is filed under the name uncultured bacterium. Its description in RNAcentral is "partial 16S ribosomal RNA". It matches the Rfam family "Bacterial small subunit ribosomal RNA", at positions 524 to 776 of the family's 1533-position model. The record is from RNAcentral.
UACGUAGGGUGCAAGCGUUGUCCGGAAUUAUUGGGCGUAAAGAGCUCGUAGGCGGUCUGUCGCGUCCGCUGUGAAAACUCGGGGCUUAACCCCGGGACUGCAGUGGGUACGGGCAGACUAGAGUUCGGUAGGGGAGUCUGGAAUUCCCGGUGUAGCGGUGAAAUGCGCAGAUAUCGGGAAGAACACCUAUGGCGAAGGCAGCUCUCUGGGACGGUACUGACGCUGAGACGCGAAAGCGUGGGGAGCGAACAGG